Non-coding RNA from Arachis ipaensis, 1304 nucleotides. NCBI's taxonomy places the organism in Eukaryota, Viridiplantae, Streptophyta, Magnoliopsida, Fabales, Fabaceae. The record is from RefSeq and is a predicted model, not a curated record.
UCUCCUCCUGACCUAUGAACUCAUUUUCACCCUCAUCUCUCCCUCUUCAAAGUUGUCGUCGAACGCUUCUCCUUCGGUAGAAGGUGCUGUCGCCGCCGGCGGAGACAGACCGUGUGUACCUUCAUCAUCUGGGGAAGCUCUACUCGGCCCUCUUCGCAUUGUUGGUUCCUCCUCUCCUCGCCGUCGCACCAAGUUCUGAGUUGAGCUCGUGGCGUCACCGUCACGAAGGGUUCCUCCCCUCCUCGCCGUGCGUCGUUUCUGAUUCUCUGUUCCUCGCCGUUUUUGCCUUUGAUUUUGUGAUUUCAUUUCUGAUUUUGUGAUUUCAUCUAUGCUUCCUUUAAUUUUUUCUUAUUUCCUUAUCAACCUUUUGGUUUAUCUCUUUGAUUUCUUCUGUUAGAAUUUGUUCCUGCAGAAUUUGAUUUAGUUAGUUGCUUUCUGGUGCUUAAGUUUUUUUUAAUGGGAAUAAUCAAGUAAUCUAUCUUUUCUAGGGUUUGGAGGCUAUGCCCGAAGCUGACUUGAGUUCACUGUGAGUCACUAUUAAUUGCCACAAGCUUUUCUCUUUUUUUCUUUAUUUGUUUGUUUGGAUCUUUAAUUUCGAGUAGCUGUGCUGUGAUUUAUGAUCUAUUUCACUCUCGGUUUCUUUUGAUGCUGUUUUUCUUCCUCCAAGUUUUUUAAUUGUUCAUUGUGUGAGUUGUCGAGCUGGGUCAAUUUUGUUAGUAUAUCACAAGUAGAAAACUUCUCGUGGUACUUUUAUUUGUUAAUCAAUAUAACUAGGACCGCAGCACCAUCUUUCAAUAAUCAAUACCUUGCAUGUUUCAUACAUCAAAGAUCCAUUUGUUGUGAUAGCUUUAGGUAUCAUAGAAGGCACUUCAUCUUCUUCAUCAACUUCAAUUACUAACAAUCCUUGAUAUGGCCAUUUUUUCAUUAAACACUUGACCAAGAAAAUGUUCUCACCUAGCCCUGCCUAAAACCAACAACUUCUAGUUUCUAGGCUUGUUUGGUUCUACCGAUAUAGAACCUGUUGUGGUUUGAUUGGGGAUUUGAGACGUCAUUGAAGAAAAAUCUGGACGAGGAUACUCUAAUGAGAAGCUGUGGGAUGGUGGUUGGCUUCUAUGCCAGUUGCUUCCUUACAGAUAGUCAGAGUUCAACAGCAACCACCUUAAGAUAGUGUUUUGCUCUUAAUAGGAAGCUUGCAGACGAAAUUGCAGCUUCUGGUUACUAUGUGGUUGUUCCGGACUUCUUUUAUGGUGAACCCUAUGAUCCUCAGAAUACUAAUAGACCUUUAGGAAUUGAGAGUUAGUGAU